CCAGAAUUAUAUAGGCAUAAUUGGGUGUUGUUUUCAUUCGUAAUGAAAAGGUCACCAGUUCGAAUCCGGUAUCCGGCACCA
Molecule: transfer RNA, 81 nt
Filed under: Morganella morganii
Lineage: Bacteria; Pseudomonadati; Pseudomonadota; Gammaproteobacteria; Enterobacterales; Morganellaceae
Description: tRNA-Thr
Source: RNAcentral